GCGCAGGCGUUGCUAAGUGGUUACUUCGCAACUUUUAAUUGUGUUAGAGACCAUUGGCGCUAACCUGCGUUUUU
Molecule: non-coding RNA, 74 nt
Organism: Stegodyphus mimosarum
Lineage: Eukaryota; Metazoa; Arthropoda; Arachnida; Araneae; Eresidae
Source: Rfam